This 253-nucleotide ribosomal RNA is filed under the name uncultured bacterium. RNAcentral describes it as "partial 16S ribosomal RNA". It matches the Rfam family "Bacterial small subunit ribosomal RNA", at positions 524 to 776 of the family's 1533-position model. The record is from RNAcentral.
UACAGAGGUCUCAAGCGUUGUCCGGAUUCAUUGGGCGUAAAGGGUGCGUAGGCGGCGCGGUAAGUCGGGUGUGAAAUCUCGGAGCUUAACUCCGAAACUGCAUUCGAUACUGCCGUGCUUGAGGACUGGAGAGGAGACUGGAAUUUACGGUGUAGCGGUGAAAUGCGUAGAUAUCGUAAGGAAGACCAGUGGCGAAGGCGGGUCUCUGGACAGUUCCUGACGCUGAGGCACGAAGGCCAGGGGAGCAAACGGG